AAGUAGGAGGUAGGUUUAGUACGUAGGCACCAUGGAUAAUGAAUCGUGCAUGCGACUGACACGAGUCGAUAGUAUCUUUGAAAGAUUCUUACCUCC
Non-coding RNA from Glossina brevipalpis, 96 nucleotides. The record is from Rfam. Lineage: Eukaryota; Metazoa; Arthropoda; Insecta; Diptera; Glossinidae.